Molecule: ribosomal RNA, 233 nt
Filed under: uncultured bacterium
Lineage: Bacteria
Description: partial 16S ribosomal RNA
Rfam family: Bacterial small subunit ribosomal RNA
Source: RNAcentral
CGGGUGAGUAAUGUAUCGGAACGUGCCUAGUAGCGGGGGAUAGCCCGGCGAAAGCCGGAUUAAUACCGCAUACGCCCUAAGGGGGAAAGGGGGGGAUCGCAAGACCUCUCACUAUUGGAGCGGCCGAUGGCUGAUUAGCUAGUUGGUGGGGUAAAGGCCUACCAAGGCAACGAUCAGUAGCUGGUCUGAGAGGAUGGUCAGCCACACUGGGACUGAGACACGGCCCAGACUCC